This 1150-nucleotide ribosomal RNA is filed under the name Candidatus Phytoplasma pini. RNAcentral's name for it is "bacterial SSU rRNA". It matches the Rfam family "Bacterial small subunit ribosomal RNA", at positions 190 to 1354 of the family's 1533-position model. The record is from RNAcentral. Lineage: Bacteria; Bacillati; Mycoplasmatota; Mollicutes; Acholeplasmatales; Acholeplasmataceae.
AAGACCUUUUUCGAAAGGUAUGCUUAAAGAGGGGCUUGCGCCAUAUUAGUUAGUUGGUAGGGUAAAAGCCUACCAAGACGAUGAUAUGUAGCUGGACUGAGAGGUUGAACGGCCACAUUGGGACUGAGACACGGCCCAAACUCCCACGGGAGGCAGCAGUAGGGAAUUUUCGGCAAUGGAGGAAACUCUGACCGAGCAACGUCGCGUGAACGAUGAAGUAUUUCGGUAUGUAAAGUUCUUUUAUUGAAGAAGAAAAAAUAGUGGAAAAACUAUCUUGACGCUAUUCAAUGAAUAAGCCCUGGCUAAUUAUGUGCCAGCAGCCGCGGUAAUACAUAAAGGGCGAGCGUUAUCCGGAAUUAUUGGGCGUAAAGGGUGCGUAGGCGGUUUGUUAAGUCUUUAGUUUAAUCUCAGUGCUUAACGCUGUUCUGCUAGAGAAACUGACUUACUAGAGUGAGAUAGAGGCAAGUGGAAUUCCAUGUGUCAGCGGUAAAAUGCGUAAAUAUAUGGAGGAACACCAGAGGCGUAGGCGGCUUGCUGGGUCUUUACUGACGCUGAGGCACGAAAGCGUGGGGAGCAAACAGGAUUAGAUACCCUGGUAGUCCACGCCGUAAACGAUGAGUACUAAGUGUCGGGGAAACUCGGUACUGAAGUUAACGCAUUAAGUACUCCGCCUGAGUAGUACGUACGCAAGUAUGAAACUUAAAGGAAUUGACGGGAUCCCGCACAAGCGGUGGAUCAUGUUGUUUAAUUCGAAGAUACACGAAAAACCUUACCAGGUCUUGACAUACUCUGCAAAGCUGUAGAAAUACAGUGGAGGUUAUCAGGGAUACAGGUGGUGCAUGGUUGUCGUCAGCUCGUGUCGUGAGAUGUUAGGUUAAGUCCUAGAACGAGCGCAACCCUUGUCGUUAGUUACCAGCACGUUAUGGUGGGCACUUUAACGAGACUGCCAAUGAAAUAUUGGAGGAAGGUGAGGAUUACGUCAAAUCAUCAUGCCCCUUAUGAUCUGGGCUACAAACGUGAUACAAUGGCUGUUACAAAGAGUAGCUGAAACGUGAGUUUUUGGCCAAUCUCAAAAAAACAGCCUCAGUUCGGAUUGAAGUCUGCAACUCGACUUCAUGAAGUUGGAAUCGCUAGUAAUCGCAAAUCAGCA